This 70-nucleotide transfer RNA is filed under the name Heterocephalus glaber (naked mole-rat). It matches the Rfam family "tRNA". From Rfam's summary of the family: Transfer RNA (tRNA) molecules are approximately 80 nucleotides in length. Lineage: Eukaryota; Metazoa; Chordata; Mammalia; Rodentia; Bathyergidae. The record is from Rfam by way of RNAcentral.
UGGAUGUAGCCCAGUGGCAGGGCACUUGUCUAGCAUGCAUGAUGCCCUGGGUUUGAUCCCAGCAUUGCAA